Molecule: transfer RNA, 83 nt
Filed under: Canis lupus familiaris (dog)
Lineage: Eukaryota; Metazoa; Chordata; Mammalia; Carnivora; Canidae
Also listed under: 1 other name
Rfam family: tRNA
About the family: Transfer RNA (tRNA) molecules are approximately 80 nucleotides in length. Their secondary structure includes four short double-helical elements and three loops (D, anti-codon, and T loops). Further hydrogen bonds mediate the characteristic L-shaped molecular structure. tRNAs have two regions of fundamental functional importance: the anti-codon, which is responsible for specific mRNA codon recognition, and the 3' end, to which the tRNAs corresponding amino acid is attached (by aminoacyl-tRNA synthetases). tRNAs cope with the degeneracy of the genetic code in two manners: having more than one tRNA (with a specific anti-codon) for a particular amino acid; and 'wobble' base-pairing, i.e. permitting non-standard base-pairing at the 3rd anti-codon position.
Source: Rfam by way of RNAcentral
GCCUGGGUGGCUCAGUGAUUGAGCAUCUGCCUUCAGCUCAGGGUGUGAUCCUGGGGUCCUGGGAUCAAGUCCCACCUCAGGCU